This 237-nucleotide ribosomal RNA is filed under the name uncultured bacterium. RNAcentral's name for it is "partial 16S ribosomal RNA". It matches the Rfam family "Bacterial small subunit ribosomal RNA", at positions 15 to 236 of the family's 1533-position model. The record is from RNAcentral.
GAUCAUGGCUCAGACGAACGCUGGCGGCGUGCCUAACACAUGCAAGUCGAACGGAGAAUUUUAUUUCGGUAGAGUUCUUAGUGGCGAACGGGUGAGUAACGCGUAGGCAACCUGCCCUUUAGACGGGGACAACAUUCCGAAAGGAGUGCUAAUACCGGAUGUGAUCAUCGUGCCGCAUGGCAGGAUGAAGAAAGAUGGCCUCUACAAGUAAGCUAUCGCUAAAGGAUGGGCCUGCGU